GACGAACGCUGGCGGCGUGCCUAAUACGUGCAAGUAGAACGCUGAAGGAGGAGCUUGCUCUUCUGGAUGAGUUGCGAACGGGUGAGUAACGCGUAGGUAACCUGCCUGGUAGCGGGGGAUAACUAUUGGAAACGAUAGCUAAUACCGCAUAAGAGUAGAUGUUGCAUGACAUUUGCUUAAAAGGUGCAAUUGCAUCACUACCAGAUGGACCUGCGUUGUAUUAGCUAGUUGGUGGGGUAACGGCUCACCAAGGCGACGAUACAUAGCCGACCUGAGAGGGUGAUCGGCCACACUGGGACUGAGACACGGCCCAGACUCCUACGGGAGGCAGCAGUAGGGAAUCUUCGGCAAUGGACGGAAGUCUGACCGAGCAACGCCGCGUGAGUGAAGAAGGUUUUCGGAUCGUAAAGCUCUGUUGUAAGAGAAGAACGAGUGUGAGAGUGGAAAGUUCACACUGUGACGGUAUCUUACCAGAAAGGGACGGCUAACUACGUG
This 495-nucleotide ribosomal RNA is filed under the name uncultured bacterium. Its description in RNAcentral is "partial 16S ribosomal RNA". It matches the Rfam family "Bacterial small subunit ribosomal RNA", at positions 28 to 507 of the family's 1533-position model. The record is from RNAcentral.